Molecule: ribosomal RNA, 632 nt
Filed under: uncultured archaeon
Lineage: Archaea
Description: bacterial SSU rRNA
Rfam family: Archaeal small subunit ribosomal RNA
Source: RNAcentral
ACGGCUCAGUAACACGUGGAUAACUUGCCCUUGGGUCCGGGAUAACCCCUGAGAAAUUGGGGACAAUACCGGAUAGGGCAUCGAUUGCUGGAAUGCACGAUGUCCAAAAGCUGAGGCGCCCAAGGAUAGGUCUGCGGCCGAUUAGGUUGUUGUUGAUGUAAUGGAUCAACAAGCCUGCAAUCGGUACGGGUUGUGAGAGCAAGAGCCCGGAGAUGGGUUCUGAGAAAAGAACCCAGGUCCUACGGGACGCAUCAGGCGCGAAAACUUUACAAUGUGCGAAAGCACGAUAAGGGAACUCUGAGUGCCUCCUAUGGAGGCUGUUCAGGUGUCUAAAAAGCACUUGAAGUAAGGGCUGGGUAAGACCGGUGCCAGCCGCCGCGGUAACACCGGCAGCCCAAGUGGUAGCCACGAUUAUUGGGUCUAAAGCGUCCGUAGCCGGCCAGGUAAGUUCUUUGGGAAAUUUAACCGCUCAACGGUUAAGCUUUCAGGGAAUACUGCUUGGCUUGGGACCGGGAGAGGUCAGAGGUACUUCAAGGGUAGGGGUGAAAUCCGUUAAUCCUUGAGGGACCACCAGUAGCGAAGGCGUCUGACCAGACCGGGUCCGACGGUGAGGGACGAAGGCUAGGGUCGCG